Molecule: ribosomal RNA, 934 nt
Filed under: uncultured archaeon
Lineage: Archaea
Description: bacterial SSU rRNA
Rfam family: Archaeal small subunit ribosomal RNA
Source: RNAcentral
UUCCGGUUGAUCCCGCCGGACCCGACUGCUAUUUGGGUGAGGAUAAGCCAUGCGAGUUGAAUGGGAUACCUAAAUUUCCCAUAGCGAACUGCUCAGUAACACAUGAUCAACUUAACCUAUGGAGAAAAAUAACCUCGGGAAACUGAGGAUAAUAUUUCAUAGUUGAAUAGGCUUGGAAAAGUUUUUCAAUUAAAGGGAUAAGAUAAAUGGUUCUUAUUUGCCAUAGGAUAGGAUCGUGUUCGAUUAUGGUCGUUGGUGAGGUAAAGGCUCACCAAGCCGAUAAUCGAUAGGGGCCGUGAGAGCGGGAGCCCCGAGAUGGGUACUUAGACAGCGACCCAGACCUUACGAGGUGCAGCAGGCGCGGAACCUCCGCAAUACACGAAAGUGUGACGGGGUUACCCAAAGUGUCCUUAUUGGACUGUGGUAGGUGAGUAAUGUCCCCUACUAGAAAGGAGAGGGCAAGGCUGGUGCCAGCCGCCGCGGUAAAACCAGCUCUUCAAGUGGUCGGGAUGAUUAUUGGGCUUAAAGUGUCCGUAGCCGGUUUAGUAAGUUCCUGGUAAAAUCGAGUAGCUUAACUAUUUGUAUGCUAGGAAUACUGCUAUACUAGAGGGCGGGAGAGGUCUGAGGUACUACAGGGGUAGGGGUGAAAUCUUAUAAUCCUUGUAGGACCGCCAGUGGCGAAGGCGUCAGACUGGAACGUGCCUGACGGUGAGGGACGAAAGCCAGGGGAGCGAACCGGAUUAGAUACCCGGGUAGUCCUGGCCGUAAACGAUGCAUACUAGGUGAUGGUACGGCCAUGAGCCGUAUCAGUGCCGUAGGGAAACCGUUAAGUGUGCCGCCUGGGAAGUACGGUCGCAAGGCUAAAACUUAAAGGAAUUGGCGGGGGAGCACCACAAGGGGUGAAGCCUGCGGUUCAAUUGGAUUCAACGCCGGA